AGCGAACGCUGGCGGCAGGCCUAAUACAUGCAAGUCGAGCCGAGGUCCAUCCACUGGCAACAGUGGUGAAGACCUAGCGGCGAACGGGUGAGUAACACGUGACGGAACCUGCCCCGAAGACCGGGAUAACCCUCCGAAAGGAGGGCUAAAUACCGGAUAUCCCCACCGGACCGCAUCGAUCUGGUGAGGAAAUUGGAUUCCGCUUCGGGAGGGCCUCGCGGCCUAUCAGCUUGUUGGUGAGGUAACGGCUCACCAAGGCAU
Molecule: ribosomal RNA, 261 nt
Filed under: uncultured bacterium
Lineage: Bacteria
Description: partial 16S ribosomal RNA
Rfam family: Bacterial small subunit ribosomal RNA
Source: RNAcentral